This 490-nucleotide ribosomal RNA is filed under the name uncultured bacterium. RNAcentral describes it as "partial 16S ribosomal RNA". It matches the Rfam family "Bacterial small subunit ribosomal RNA", at positions 30 to 507 of the family's 1533-position model. The record is from RNAcentral.
UGAACGCUGGCGGUAGGCCUAACACAUGCAAGUCGACCGGCAGCACAGUAAGAGCUUGCUCUUACGGGUGGCGAGUGGCGGACGGGUGAGGAAUACAUCGGAAUCUACUUUUUCGUGGGGGAUAACGUAGGGAAACUUACGCUAAUACCGCAUACGACCUACGGGUGAAAGCAGGGGAUCUUCGGACCUUGCGCGAUUGAAUGAGCCGAUGUCGGAUUAGCUAGUUGGCGGGGUAAAGGCCCACCAAGGCGACGGUCCGUAGCUGGUCUGAGAGGAUGAUCAGCCACACUGGAACUGAGACACGGUCCAGACUCCUACGGGAGGCAGCAGUGGGGAAUAUUGGACAAUGGGCGCAAGCCUGAUCCAGCCAUACCGCGUGGGUGAAGAAGGCCUUCGGGUUGUAAAGCCCUUUUGUUGGGAAAGAAAAGCAGCAGGUUAAUACCCCGCUGUUCUGACGGUACCCAAAGAAUAAGCACCGGCUAACUUCGUG